ACAUAACUGAUGCCUCCGCGUAUCGACUUUGUGCGCAUUUUAGCUAUUAUGUGUUCUUUUAAUUAAAAUGAUUCUUUUUAAGAUUCAUCUAUUAAAAAUUUGCUUCGGCAUAAUUUUUUUUGAUGAUCUUGUUACUUUGAGUAAAUUAGAGUGUUCAAAGCAAACAGAUAUAGCAUUUGUGCGUUUGAAUACUACAGCAUGGAAUAACAAAAUUGAACAAGUCAGAAUUUUUUUGUUCUUUUUUCUUAUUUUGGCUUAGUUACGAUUAAUAGGAGUAGCUUGGGGGCAUUUGUAUUCAGAUGUCAGAGGUGAAAUUCUUAGAUUUUCUGGAGACAAACAACUGCGAAAGCAUUUGCCUAAAAUACUUCCAUUAAUCAAGAACGAAAGUUAAGGGAGUGAAGACGAUCAGAUACCGUCGUAAUCUUAACCAUAAACUAUGCCGACUAGGCUUUGGAUGAAAGAUUUUAAAAUAAGAGUUUUUCUUUUCUCUCCGGAGAUUAGAACUCUUAGAUUGCUUCCUUCAGUGCCUUAUGAGAAAUCAAAGUCUUUGGGUUCUGGGGCGAGUAUUCGCGCAAGCGAGAAAGUUAAAAGAAUUGACGGAAGGGCACCCCCAGGCGUGGAGCUUGCGGCUUAAUUUGACUCAACACGGGAAAACUCACUAGUUUAAGACAAGAGUAGGAUUAACAGAUUAAUAGCUCUUUCUUGAUUUCUUGGAUGGUGAUGCAUGGCCGUUUUUAGUUCGUGAAUAUGAUUUGUCUGGUUAAUUCCGAUAACGAACGAGAUCUUAACCUGCUAAUUAGCGGCAAAUACGAUAUAUUCUUAUGUAGAAUUGAAUAUAGUGGAUUUGUUAGAUUUUGAAGAAAAUAUUGGAAUUACGUUAAAUGUGAUUCCUUUCCCUUUUCUACUUAAUUUACAUUUCCAUCUAUUUCUUUUUUGCGUAUGAAUGUAUUUGCUUGAUUGUAAAGCUUCUUAGAGGAACGAUGUGUG
Molecule: ribosomal RNA, 987 nt
Filed under: Plasmodium knowlesi
Lineage: Eukaryota; Apicomplexa; Aconoidasida; Haemosporida; Plasmodiidae
Description: SSU rRNA
Rfam family: Eukaryotic small subunit ribosomal RNA
Source: RNAcentral